Molecule: long non-coding RNA, 1539 nt
Organism: Lycium barbarum (goji berry)
Lineage: Eukaryota; Viridiplantae; Streptophyta; Magnoliopsida; Solanales; Solanaceae
Exons: 3
Source: RefSeq, a predicted model, not a curated record
CUUAAAAUAUGAAGACUAAGUCAUCUUUUUUCUCAUUCAACACUUAGCAAAUAAAACAAGAACUUGGAGAGCUCCACUCCCUCUAGCUCACGGCUAAGACCAAGGAAAACCAAAUCCCUUUCAAGCCUCUCCAAAAUUAUUUCUUUGGUUCAAACCCACUAAUUAGAGGUCCCUAAGUAGCGUGGAGGCAUUGUUGGAGCGAUCAAGUGAUUUAUUUGAGAGAUUGCAAACCCUAACCCAUUUUGGAGUUGAAGAGGAAAGACCUUGGAGAGCCCGAGGCGUAGAUUGGGAUUAACGUUAGGUUGGCUAUCUUGGAGUGCGUACGAGGUAUGUAAAGUCCAACCUUCUUUCUUUUGGCAUGCCUUAGUUUUGGAUAGGCUAGAUUACGAGCCUUUAGGAAAAUCCUAUGAUUCGAAAUCCGAGCAUGAUAUGAUCUAUAUAUAUUCCUUGACACUCUUAUGUAUGAUUUGAUAAAAGUAUGAACCAUUAUGACUUUGAAAUAUUCGCUUUCCGAACUUUGCAUAAAAAGGUUUCGCUUUAAAGAAUUUCGUAAAUUUUGAAUUUCAUAUCUUUCACAUAAAGGCUCGGAUUGCUCCACUAUUUUUUUUAUAGGAGUUUGCAUGAUGUAUAAUGAGUAUAUUUUGCAUAGGCGGGCCCGACUCGGGUCAAUACCCGUCCGUGGGUCCCGCGACUUUCCUUUAUGUAAUUCGGAGAACUUUUGAAUGAAUUUGAUAUGACUAUUAUUUCGAUUUACAAGUAUGAUCAUUCUACUUAUGUAUGAAUUUAUGAUAAUGAUUUUAUGCAUAUGACUACUCACGACUCUAUUCGUGCAUUCUGUUAUCCCUUUCGCCGAGUCCCGGGCCGGUUCUGUUAUCGUGCGCAUUUUGAUAUACUCCGGAGUUAUGCUGUGUUUAUGGUUCACCGAGCUACUCGCAAAAGAGGGUCGGGUUCCACUUAUAUUUGGUGUUAUGCUGUAUGACGUUAUGCUGUGAUGUGAUAUUUGACGGGGAUACGGAGAUUUGAGACUUUCUGGUGUUAUGCUGUGUUAUGGCGCCAUCGACGGGCGGGCGACCAUAUUCCUCUGUACCCUAUGCAUGACUUACAUAUUUUUUUGAAAGUAAACAAAUUUUGAUAUGAUUGGAUUUGUACUUAUGUUCGGCACUUCCGCUUCGUUUAUGUCUCAGGUACAGACGCACAGUUUAGUGAUCUACCCAUUUAGGACACCCACUUCUGCUGUUUGGAGUGCUCUUCUCAUUUCAGAGCACACAUUUUGGUAUAUGUUUGUUCGCUAUGUAUAUAUGUAUUUGUUCAGGGUACGGCGGGGCCCUGUCCUGCCAUAUGAUUCGGUUUGUCUGUUUAGAGGUCUGUAGACGUAUUUGUGGGUGUGUGUGCCUACCUCUGUACAGUUGUGUUUAUAUGAUUCUACUCGUUAUGGCAGCCUUGUCGGCGUGCAUUUGUAUAGGUGUUUUGGGCCGUUGUGCCAUUUGAUAGCCUUGUCGGCUUUUGGUACAUGUGAUAGCCUUAUCGGCUUUUGAUACA